GACGAACGCUGGCGGCGCGCUUAACACAUGCAAGUCGAGCGAUGAAAUCUUGACAGAUCCCUUCGGGGUGAAGAUAAGAUGGAUUAGCGGCGGACGGGUGAGUAACACGUGAGUAACCUGCCUUAGACAUUGGGAUAGCCUCGGGAAACCGGGAUUAAUACCAAAUGAAAUCAUAGGUGCCCAUGCACUAAUGAUCAAAACUCCGGUGGUCUAAGAUGGACUCGCGUCCCAUUAGCUAGUUGGUGAGGUAACGGCCCACCAAGGCGACGAUGGGUAGCCGGCCUGAGAGGGUGAACGGCCACAUUGGAACUGAGAAACGGUCCAAACUCCUACGGGAGGCAGCAGUGGGGAAUAUUGCACAAUGGAGGGAACUCUGAUGCAGCGACGCCGCGUGAACGAUGAAGGCUUUCGAGUCGUAAAGUUCUUUUAUAUGGGAAGAUAAUGACGGUACCAUAAGAGAAAGCCCCGGCUAACUACGUGCCAGCAGCCGCGGUAAUACGUAGGGGGCUAGCGUUGUCCGGAAUCACUGGGCGUAAAGGGUUCGCAGGCGGAAAUGCAAGUCAGAUGUAAAAGGCAGUAGCUUAACUACUGUAAGCAUUUGAAACUGCAUAUCUUGAGAAGAGUAGAGGUAAGUGGAAUUUUUAGUGUAGCGGUGAAAUGCGUAGAUAUUAAAAAGAAUACCGGUGGCGAAGGCGACUUACUGGGCUCAUUCUGACGCUGAGGAACGAAAGCGUGGGUAGCAAACAGG
This 748-nucleotide ribosomal RNA is filed under the name uncultured Peptoniphilus sp. RNAcentral's name for it is "bacterial SSU rRNA". It matches the Rfam family "Bacterial small subunit ribosomal RNA", at positions 28 to 776 of the family's 1533-position model. Lineage: Bacteria; Bacillati; Bacillota; Tissierellia; Tissierellales; Peptoniphilaceae. The record is from RNAcentral.